GUUUCCAAAUACACGAUUUAUAAGCCCAGAGAUCUUUUAGAUCACUAGGCUGUAAUUUAAUGCACAUAAAAGGAAUGGUUUAAUAGCUAUCUUUGUCACCUCUAAAAUGUAGACACUAUAGUCUCUUCCGUUUUAUUUUCCACCAAAAGCAUAUAUUUAAAUGUUAAUUUAUUUUCUUUUCAUUUGUAGGACCCAACCACGUCACUCUCUGCUAAUUUCUUCUCAUUGCUGAGGCAAAAGACCAAAAUUUUACUUAUUUGUUAAAUUUAAAACACCUCUAUAAUACUAAUUGUGUAUUAGGCACUGUUCUAAGAACUUUACAAAUCUUAGCUCAUUAAACUCUAUAAGGUAGGUGUAGUCAUGCAUUGCUCAAUGAUGGGGAUACAUUCUGAGAAAAGCACUGUUAGGGGAUUUUGUCAUUGUUUGAACAUCAUAGAUUGUACUUAUACAAACCUAGAUGGUGUAGCCUACUACACACCUAGGCUAUAUGAUACUAAUCUUAUGGGACCACUGUAGUAUAUGUCAUCCAUCAUUGACUGAAAUGUUGUCAUAUGGCACGUGUCUGCACUAUUAUCAUCACCCUUAUUUUUCAGAUGAGGAAACUGAGGCACAGGAAGGUUAAGUAACUGUGUGCUGUAACACAGCUAGCAAGCCUUCAUCAUCUGGCUCCUGCCUAUGUCUCAGACCUCAUCUCGUUUCUCCCUAUUGCUCUCUCUUUUUGGUUAUCUUUGUGUCUCUGUACAAGUAUAUUGAGCCUGCAAUACAUUCUUCCCUGCUAUUCACUUGUUUGGUUCCCAGUGGUGGUAAUACUAUAUUAUGAAUGUAUUUGAAAACGGCAGAAUUCUAACAGCCACAAUUCCCUUGACAGUGGGAUUUGAUGAUUCUUAAUCAAAAGGCCUAAGGUGGUUUUUAUUUACCUCUCUGACAUCUGUGCUUCCCUGAGUCUUCCGCAUCUCUGUUGGGAGGACAACUGUUCACCCCUAUUUUAGGCUUCCCUAUUUGUAUAGGGAGGACCACCAUACAUACUUGUCUUCUCUUUUCCCUGUCUCUUUUGGCAGGACUACUAUACAGCCAUGCGUUAAGGCCUAACACCUUGGAGUUUUCCUUGACUCCUCUCUGGCUCCCAUACCCCACAUCCCAUCUCUCAGUGGAUCCUGUCAGUUCUACCUUCAUAACCCGUCCUGAACCUAACUACCUCUCUCCUCCACCUCUACUGGAUUAAUCCUAGCCACUAUCAGCUCUUGCCUGGACCACUGCAAGACCUCCUCUUGGUCUUGCUUCUUCUUUUGCCCCUUCCAGUAUACUCUCCACAGGCAGCCAGAGUGAUCAGGUCACUCCUCUGUGCUCACCUCCAAUGGCUUUUAGUAACAUCCAGAACACAAUCCAGUGUCUAACCAUGGCUUAUGAAGUCCUUCAUGAUCUUGCCCACAUCUAUCUCUUCAUCUUCAUUUCAAUCAUGUUUCCCUUGCUUGCUGCUUUCAGGUCCACUGGAACCCUUCCUUCUGCUCUAGGAGCACUCCAAGAGACCUCUCACCUCGGACACUAUGUUCACUUGCUAUUCCCUUCUGGAACCCUCUUUCCUCAGAUUUGUCCGUGGAUGCUCCUUCUAGUCUUCAUGUCUCUGCUCAAACUUUAUAUCCUCAGAGAGGCCUUUUCUGUCCCAUUGUUCUUUCUCCCCUAACCCUGUUUAUUUUCCUUCAUAGUACCUGACCUUUUUUUUUUUUUUACUACAUAUUUAUUUGCUGUUCUCUGUCUAGAUGUACAGGGUUUCAGCACCUGGAAAAAUACCUGGCACACAUUAAGAGUUUAUUAAAUAUUUGAAAUAAAUGGAUGGAUGAAUUAUUGAAGAAUUGAAAAUGAAUACGGGAGAAGAGACAAUUAGAUACUUUCAAAAAGAUUUCUGCAGAGAGAAGCAAGGGAGCUAGAAGGCAGUCUAUCUAGGGAUGAAUCACUCCCCUUGAGAACAAAAGGAAAUUUAACUACUCAGGGAACAAAGUGAGUCCAAGGUGAGGGAGCCCUCCCUGCCCCUCUUUGUUUUAUCUGCCUGUUGCCUGUCUGUGGGGCCCCCAUCCUGCUGGUGGGAGGCUUAGGGAUGAGUACCUGAUUUGCCACUACCAAGCAGAACUGCUGUGCUUUCCUCUCUUCCUCUGUGCUUGGGGUCUCACUGGGAGUGGGCCAACAGAAGUUUGGUGCACAGGAUGGUAUUCUCUCCCAGGAUGGUUUGGAACGCACUGAGAGCCUAAUUCAUCCACUUGGGAGUGAGGUUCUUAAGGAGAAACUCAGUGCUUUGGCUGAAUAGCAGAGCCUUUUUCAGAGAAACUCUCCAAGGAGUUUCUACACAGGCUUCCUAGGGUAAAGCAGUUAUUUGUAGCAGUUUUAGGACUCUUUAUAUUCCAGUUUCAUCUCUUCUCAUUGAUUUUGCCAUUUGUGGCUUAUAAUGGAAAUGAAAAUAGCUGGUGCAGAUGGAAGAGUUACAAGAUGCUUCUCUGUAUCUUGUAGCUGGGGCACUCUUGGGGAAUCAGCUGAAUGAGUAUUUGCUUCCUAAACUCUUCUCUGGGUUUCACCAAGUUGGGGUCACUUGCAAGGUGAUCAUCAAUUCUGUGGAUUGGUUCAUAUUGUGCGGUGUGAAAACAGAUGAAAGAAUCUGGACCAUCCCCCAACAUAAAAGCUUAGACGAGAACAAAAAUAUAUAAGUGCUGACAAUUUAUACUAAUUUUAAGAAUCCACUUUGCUAAAACAGGAUGAAAAAAUACAUUACAUUGGAAUAACUUCCCUAUACCCAGUUAUUAGGGGACAAUGAAAUGUUCAUUUUACUGUAGCUUGAUUAUGAUGCUGACGUCAUAAUCAAGUCAAGAUAUAUAUGGUAGCAUCUCAUGUAUAUAGAGGUCAGCUUGGAACACAGCUUUGAUCUGGAAAAGUAAGCAUAAAAGGUCUGUGAUGAUAUGAAGCAGGAGACUCAUGUCCCUGCAUGAGAGCCAGGCCCCUUAGUACUUCCUAUUCCUGAUUCCCAUUCCCAUUUAGUAUUCUAGUCCCAACAUUUUCAGUUAUCUUCUUUUCCAAGCCCAGAGCAGCUAAGAAGUAGAAAAUUGGAAGAGGGCAAAGAAGGAUGCAAGUCAAAGUCACACUGAUGGGAGACAGGAAUGACAGCUGACAGCAAGGGAGGUGACAGCAAAGCUUAAGCAGCAAUGCAGGACUGCCAUAGACUUUGUCUGCAAGUCUAGGACAGGCAGAGUGGAAGUCUGUAUAUGGAAGAGGUAUUUUUCAAAGGAAGGGAUGGCUUUCUUUCCUUUUUUCUGAAGAUGGUGCCUCUUCCUGCAUUCAGGGUCCCAGUCCCAUCAGUCAAUUUUGAAUCCUUACUCCAUAAAUCCGUUCUCUUUUCCUUACUCACGUAUUUAACCUUUUCUACUCAACUUAUGAAUAGUUUCACAACUCUUCCAUCUUAAGCAACACUCUCCAACUUUCCAUCCUGAAUCUGUUGCCCUUUCUCCCCACAACACCUCAUUCCUGUCAAGUUUUUGCAAGAGAGGUCCAUACUUCCUGUAUACACUCUCUCUCUUCCUUUGACUUGUCUCCCCUUGCAUCCUUGGUUCUGCCCUAGUAUUCCUCAGAAGUGCCCUCACUUUCAUACUCUGGCCCUAAUCACAAAUAAUCACCUAAUGCCAAACUCGGUGUGUAUUUUAAUGCUCAUUUUAGUUAACCUCUCUUUGGCAUCUUAACCAUUCCUUCUUUUCAGUCUACCUCUAUUUGUUAACACUCAUGACCACUCACCUUGGAAACCGUCUCUCCCGGGUCAAAAAUAGAAAAGAUCAUCUUUGUUCUAAACUGUUUUCUCCACCUGUAUUUCCUUGUCUUGAUGAAUGCCAGCACCAUCUGCUCUGUCACCUGAGACUGAGCCUCAACUCCCUCUACUGACAAGCUAGUCAAGCACAUUCUCCAUGUCUAUAAUUAGGUUUAUGAUUUCCUUUUAUUUCUUUCAUAGAGUUUCUGUUCCCCUGCUUAGAUUGCCCAUCUGUUCUUUAUAUAUUGUCUUCCUAUUUUUUCUCUUGGAGGCCUUUACUUAUUAAUCAUAGUCACUUUCAAUUCCCUGUAUGAUAAUUCCAACAUUUAUGUCACAGCUGAGUCUGGUUCUGAUGAUGGUUUUUUCUCUUCAGACGGUGUUUUUUCUUGCCUUUUGUCAUACCUUGCAAUUUUUUGUUGAAAGUUGGGUAUGUUAUAUUGGGUUAUAGGAACUGAGAGAAAUAGUUGUUUAGUGGGAGGAUUUAUGUUUAUCAGGCUAGGAGUUAGGCUGUGUUUAAUGUUUAUUUUAGCUGUAGGUACCACAGGCUUCAGUUUCCUCUAGUCCUUGUUUGUUCUCUCUUUUGGCUUUGAGGCUUCUCUAUGUACUGCUCCUUGGAGAGAGUCUACAUCUUGUACUUCUUUUAGCUGUAAUCCCCCCUUAUUACACUGGAGUUGGUUGGUGCAGUAGGAGGAUGUGGAGGAGGGGGUGUGUUCUAUGAUCUAACAGGGAGCCUAUGUCUUCAGGGUGUGGCCUUCACAAGGUUUCUGUCCGUCCUCCAGUGCUAUAGCCCUUUCCCCCUUGCCCCAUCUUCCAUUCCUGGGGGCAGAUUUCCCAGUCUAUUUCCUUGAAGCCAAGUCAUCCCCCCACCACCAUGUUUAUGUGUGGCAGGAAGGCUGGAGGACACUGGCGUAGGGAGGAAUUCCUUUCCCCCAGGCCCACUGAGAUGCACCAAGACUGACAGAAAAGAAAUGUCUUGAGGAUGCUCAGUUUUCAGGAGUUUGUGAGGAAGAUGUAGAGGAUGCUGUGUGUGCUGUCGAGAUGCCAUUUGGGAUUCAAGGGCAUAUUCCUUCAGCUGCCCAAGGUUGGCCUCCUUCCUGGGAGAGCCUUUAUCCAAUGACUUGUUGACUCAAGGCUCAACCUUCUCUCCCGGCUUGCUACAACUCGGAAGGACCAUCCAGCCUCAGAGCUUCCUCUGGAGUCGGCAGAGGUCUUCAUUGAGAAUCCAUUCAGCCCAGCUUCUCCCUCUGUCUAUUUUUGUUUUUUUUCCCUUCCCUUCCACAGGUGUUGACCCCAAGAAUACUCCCUAAUAAACCUUCU
This 5095-nucleotide long non-coding RNA is filed under the name Equus caballus (horse). RNAcentral's name for it is "lncRNA (ENSECAG00000058955.1)". The record is from RNAcentral. Lineage: Eukaryota; Metazoa; Chordata; Mammalia; Perissodactyla; Equidae.